UUACAAUUCAAUUUUAUUCUUUCUUCUUCUUCUUCUUCUUCUUCUUCUUCUUCUCAUCAGAAAAAACAAUUAUCUCAAAACUCUUCUCAGCUAUCUUUUCAGAUAAGAGAGAACUCUUUUCUUUUUUUAUCAGAUUCAUUUAUAUUUUAAAGUUGUGUAUUUUUUAAUCUGCUGUUUUAGAUUCUAUCUCUGCAGCAAGCAGAUUAGCAUAUUCAGAAAGUAAUACUGUCUUCUUAAUAUUUUGAAUUAUUGAGUGUAUAUAAAAUCUAAAUAAGACUCUGAUUCUCUGAUUUCUUUCAGAAGUCUGCUAAUCAAUU
This 317-nucleotide small RNA is filed under the name Histoplasma capsulatum. RNAcentral's name for it is "hypothetical RNA". Lineage: Eukaryota; Fungi; Ascomycota; Eurotiomycetes; Onygenales; Ajellomycetaceae. The record is from RNAcentral. RNAcentral also lists the same sequence under 1 other name.